ACUUGUGAGUGAUAAUUCGAUGUUACAGGUCAUUUGAGUAUGCGGUCGGGCGUAAGAGAACCGAAACCGGCAAGUAGGUCACUGUCAAGCGGCAUUCUUUAGUAUUAUCACGUCGCGAUUACGUCUGCGGUGUCCCGAUUAUCAUCUGGCUCGUUAAUCACAAUGACAAAUAAAGUUAUUGGACUUAAUCGCGACAACAGACCUGUAAGAACUGAUGGGCCACUACUACUUGGCGGGGCCUGACGUGCCACCGCUGAGAUUCCACAGCACAGCUCUUUCCUCCUACUCGACCGUUUACGGCAGCCGGCUGCGUGGUUCGAUGAGCUUCGUGUCCGCAAGUUAUAGAGUGAAAGAAGGCAACAACUCCUUCUACAUCGGGACUCGUCGCCUUGUCGAGCCAUCAUCAACACGUUCAUACACCUCGCCAUCAGCAGCAGCAGCAGCAGCAGCAGCAGCAGCAGCAGCAGCAGCAGCAGCAUCAUCAUCAUCAUCAUAAUCAGCAGCAGCAGCAAGAGCAGGAGUAUGACAAAAGCAUCAAUAUCAACGUCAGGAUCAUUAUCAUUAUCAGCGAAGAUAAAAAGCAAACAGCGUUGACAUCCGAUGAUGUCAUCAGUCGAAUAAUUUUUAUGAGUUAAGAAUCUCGAUAGUCUAAAAAUUAAAUAUUGGUAUCCUACCAAACCCGCUUCAUCAUCCUGGGUAUGUUUGUCAGUGGUUGACGUCAUCAUUUUACGCUUAUACCAUACCACCAACAAAUAACACCACCAACACACCAUUCUAGGAGUGUCAUAAAGAUAGAUUGUGGAUUGCUGUACAAAACUAAUAUAUAUUAUUUGGUAAGAAUAAAACUUAUUUGAAAUUCAGAGAAGAAUAUAUUUUUCAUAUUAUAAUCAUAAAUGUUUAAGAAACAUACUGCUAAAGUAGAGUUCUCAAUUUGUUUAUAUAAUUACGAAAGUUUAAUAGUUUAUGUAAAUUGAUCAAGAUGACUUUACUUAAAUUAAGGCAAUCUCUCUAUCAGCUGUAUUCUUCUUAUCGGCAGAUAAAAUUUAGUGUUGUUUAAUUAGUGUAAGAAUUUGAAUUUAUAAACAAUUAUUAAUUUAAAAACCAAUGUACAAUUUUUGGAAUUAAUUGUUUUCUAUUGCACACUGAAAAUCAAGCAACUGAAAACCGGUAGGAUAAAAGUGCAUUUUAAUAGACAGCUCAUUACUGAUGACUGCAAAAUGAUAAACAUCAAAGUUUUAAUUAUUUAGAUUUGUUGAUGUAUAUUUAUUAUAUCUUAUAUCAAAUUACUCUCUACUAUAUAAUGUGCUCAUAAAUAAAUUGAUCAAUUUUUUUUACUUCAUAGGAAAAAUU
Cotesia glomerata is the source of this 1350-nucleotide long non-coding RNA. RefSeq lists it as uncharacterized. The record is from RefSeq and is a predicted model, not a curated record. Lineage: Eukaryota; Metazoa; Arthropoda; Insecta; Hymenoptera; Braconidae. The transcript is spliced from 3 exons.